ACUAAAGCUAGCCCAAAUAACCCCGACCCAACUACUAAAAACUCACUUGAACAAAGCAUUUACCCAAAUCCAUUAAAGUAUAGGAGAUAGAAAUUUUUAACUGGCGCUAUAGAGAAAGUACCGCAAGGGAACGAUGAAAGAAGUCUUAAAAGUACUAAACAGCAAAGCUUACCCCUUUUACCUUUUGCAUAAUGAUUUAACUAGAACAAUUUUAGCAAAGAGAACUUAAGUUAAACCCCCCGAAACCAGACGAGCUACCUACGAACAGUCCCAAAACGAACGAACUCAUCUAUGUCGCAAAAUAGUGAGAAGAUUUAUAGGUAGAGGUGAAAAGCCUAACGAGCCUGGUGAUAGCUGGUUGUCCAAAACAGAAUGUAAGUUCAAAUCUAAAUUUACCUAAAAGCCCUACAACUUCAAUGUAAAUUUAAAUUAUAGUCUAAAAAGGUACAGCUCUUUAGACACAGGAUACAACCUUCAUUAGAGAGUAAGAUCUAAGCCACACAUAGUUGGCCUAAAAGCAGCCACCAAUUAAGAAAGCGUUCAAGCUCAACAGCACAGCCACCUUAAUUUCAGCAACAACCAAUCAACUCCUAAUUUAAUAUUGGACUAAUCUAUCAACAAAUAGAAGCAAUAAUGUUAAUAUGAGUAACAAGAACCAUUUCUCCUUGCAUAAGCCUAUAUCAGAACGAAUGACCACUGAUAGUUAACAACAAAAUAAACACAACCUAACAAUAAACUACCUAUUAAACCAACUGUUAACCCAACACAGGCAUGCACUUUAAAGGAAAGAUUAAAAAAAGUAAAAGGAACUCGGCAAACACAAACCCCGCCUGUUUACCAAAAACAUCACCUCUAGCAUAUCUAGUAUUAGAGGCACUGCCUGCCCAGUGACAUAUAUUUCAACGGCCGCGGUAUCCUAACCGUGCAAAGGUAGCGUAAUCACUUGUUCCCUAAAUAGGGACCUGUAUGAAUGGCCACACGAGGGUUUUACUGUCUCUUACUUUCAAUCAGUGAAAUUGACCUUCCCGUGAAGAGGCGGGAAUAGCACAAUAAGACGAGAAGACCCUAUGGAGCUUUAAUUAACUAAUUCACAAAAAAUAAAAUCUCUAACCCACAUCCAGGGGAUAACAAAACUUUGACUGAAUUAGUAAUUUCGGUUGGGGUGACCUCGGAGAACAAGCCAACCUCCGAGUGAUUAAAUUCCAGACUUACCAGUCAAAAAUAUUACAUCACUUAUUGAUCCAAACCAUUGAUCAACGGAAUAAGUUACCCUAGGGAUAACAGCGCAAUCCUAUUCUAGAGUCCAUAUCGACAAUAGGGUUUACGACCUCGAUGUUGGAUCAGGACAUCCCAAUGGUGCAACCGCUAUUAAUGGUUCGUUUGUUCAACGAUUAAAGUCCUACGUGAUCUGAGUUCAGACCGGAGUAAUCCAGGUCGGUUUCUAUCUAUUCAAUAUUUCUCCUAGUACGAAAGGAAAAGAGAAAUAAGGCCCACUUCACAAAAGCGCCUUCAAAUCAAUAGAUGAUAUAAUCUAAAUCUAAUUAAUUUAUACACAACAUUGCCCUAGACCAGGGCCAC
RNAcentral lists this ribosomal RNA (1578 nucleotides) under Ceratotherium simum (white rhinoceros). Its description in RNAcentral is "16S ribosomal RNA". It matches the Rfam family "Bacterial large subunit ribosomal RNA", at positions 426 to 2925 of the family's 2925-position model. Lineage: Eukaryota; Metazoa; Chordata; Mammalia; Perissodactyla; Rhinocerotidae. The record is from RNAcentral.